UGGGCCGUCGCCACCACUGUAGUCAUGUACCCACCGCCGCCGCCGCCGCCUCAUCGGGACUUCAUCUCGGUGACGCUGAGCUUUGGCGAGAGCUAUGACAACAGCAAGAGUUGGCGGCGGCGCUCGUGCUGGAGGAAAUGGAAGCAACUGUCGAGAUUGCAGCGGAAUAUGAUUCUCUUCCUCCUUGCCUUUCUGCUUUUCUGUGGACUCCUCUUCUACAUCAACUUGGCUGACCAUUGGAAAGGUAUCAGAAACACGUGUACUUGAAAAUGAUAUCUGUUGAGGGUUGAUUGGGCAGAAGCAAUCUUGCAUUCUACCUUAAACAGCUCCAGGAGGCAUAUAUGGCAACGAAUUGGCAAGAAAUCAAGAUAAAGAGAAAGGUAGAGCUGUAUUUAACCACCUGGCUAGAACACAGAUGUUAAUUUGAUGCUGUCUGACUACUUUCUAGGUCUCUGGUGUAAGUACUGAUAUGUCCAGCCUCCCUUAUAGAGUAAGUCAGCUGGUGGGCUUGAACACUCAGCCUAAAUAACCACACAAAUUUCGUAGCACUCAUUAGCGUGUGUUUGGAAAAGACCAGGCAGAGUUCUGGUGAGGACGUGGAGAAUCUCUUCUCACUUGG
RNAcentral lists this small RNA (619 nucleotides) under Pan troglodytes (chimpanzee). RNAcentral's name for it is "retained intron". Lineage: Eukaryota; Metazoa; Chordata; Mammalia; Primates; Hominidae. The record is from RNAcentral.